Molecule: ribosomal RNA, 482 nt
Filed under: uncultured bacterium
Lineage: Bacteria
Description: partial 16S ribosomal RNA
Rfam family: Bacterial small subunit ribosomal RNA
Source: RNAcentral
AUUGAACGCUGGCGGCAGGCCUAACACAUGCAAGUCGAGCGGAUGAAGGGAGCUUGCUCCUGGAUUCAGCGGCGGACGGGUGAGUAAUGCCUAGGAAUCUGCCUGGUAGUGGGGGAUAACGUCCGGAAACGGGCGCUAAUACCGCAUACGUCCUGAGGGAGAAAGUGGGGGAUCUUCGGACCUCACGCUAUCAGAUGAGCCUAGGUCGGAUUAGCUAGUUGGUGGGGUAAAGGCCUACCAAGGCGACGAUCCGUAACUGGUCUGAGAGGAUGAUCAGUCACACUGGAACUGAGACACGGUCCAGACUCCUACGGGGGGCAGCAGUGGGAAAUAUUGGACGAUGGGCGAAAGCCUGAUCCAGCCAUGCCGCGUGUGUGAAGAAGGUCUUCGGAUUGUAAAGCACUUUAAGUUGGGAGGAAGGGAAGUAAGUUAAUACCUUGCUGUUUUGACGUUACCAACAGAAUAAGCACCGGCUAACUUCG